This 498-nucleotide ribosomal RNA is filed under the name uncultured bacterium. Its description in RNAcentral is "partial 16S ribosomal RNA". It matches the Rfam family "Bacterial small subunit ribosomal RNA", at positions 28 to 507 of the family's 1533-position model. The record is from RNAcentral.
GACGAACGCUGGCGGCGUGCCUAAUACAUGCAAGUCGAGCGGACGGAUGGGAGCUUGCUCCCAGACCGUCAGCGGCGGACGGGUGAGUAACACGUGGGCAACCUGCCUGUAAGACUGGGAUAACUCCGGGAAACCGGGGCUAAUACCGGAUAACUCUUUCCCUCACAUGAGGGAAAGCUGAAAGAUGGCAUCUCGCUAUCACUUACAGAUGGGCCCGCGGCGCAUUAGCCAGUUGGUGAGGUAACGGCUCACCAAGGCGACGAUGCGUAGCCGACCUGAGAGGGUGAUCGGCCACACUGGGACUGAGACACGGCCCAGACUCCUACGGGAGGCAGCAGUAGGGAAUCUUCCGCAAUGGACGAAAGUCUGACGGAGCAACGCCGCGUGAGUGAUGAAGGUUUUCGGAUCGUAAAACUCUGUUGUCAGGGAAGAACAAGUACCGGAGUAACUGCCGGUACCUUGACGGUACCUGACCAGAAAGCCACGGCUAACUACGUG